This 301-nucleotide ribosomal RNA is filed under the name uncultured bacterium. RNAcentral describes it as "partial 16S ribosomal RNA". It matches the Rfam family "Bacterial small subunit ribosomal RNA", at positions 509 to 809 of the family's 1533-position model. The record is from RNAcentral.
CAGCCGCCGCGGUAAUACGAAGGGGGCUAGCGUUGCUCGGAAUGACUGGGCGUAAAGGGCGCGUAGGCGGUUUGGACAGUCAGAUGUGAAAUUCCUGGGCUUAACCUGGGGGCUGCAUUUGAUACGUUCAGGCUUGAGUGUGGAAGAGGGUCGUGGAAUUCCCAGUGUAGAGGUGAAAUUCGUAGAUAUUGGGAAGAACACCGGUGGCGAAGGCGGCGACCUGGUCCAUUACUGACGCUGAGGCGCGAAAGCGUGGGGAGCAAACAGGAUUAGAUACCCCCGUAGUCCCUGUCUCUUAUAU